GGUUGUUUCCAGUUUCUGACUGUUACAAAUAAAGCUGCUAUGAGCAUAGUGGAGCAUGUGUCCUUGUGGUGUAGUGAGGCAUCUUUUGGGUAUACUCCCAGGAGUUGUAUAACUGGGUCUUGGGGUACAACUACUCCCAGUUUCCCAGAAAUCAGAUUGAUCUCCAAAGUGGUUGUACAAGUUUGCUUUCCUAUCAGUAAUGGAGAAGUAUUAUUCAUACUUCUUAUCCUUACCAGCAUGUGCUGUCACUUGAGUUUUUGACCUUAGCCAUUCUGGUGGGUAUAAGAUGCAAUCUUGGGGUCAUUUUAAUUUGCAUUUUCCUGAUGACUAACAUUGAAUGUUUCUUUAUGAGUUUCUUAGCCAUUAGAGAUUCCUCUCCUGAGAGUUCUCUGUUUUGCUCUGUACCCAUUUUUUAAUUGGGUUAUUUGGGUGGUUAGUAUUUAAUUUUUUGAGUUUUUAUAAUUUUGGAUAUUAGCCCCCUGGGUUAGUGAAGAUCUUUUCCCAUUUUGUGGGCUUCAGUUUUGUCUUAUUGACAGUGUUCUUUGCCUUACAGAAGCUUUUCAGUUUCACGAAGUCCCUUUUAUUAAUUAUUGUUCCCGAGCUGUUACAGCUGAUAAAUACUUUCAGCAAAAUAGCUGGAUAUAAAAUCAGCUCAAAAAAAAAAAAA
This 667-nucleotide long non-coding RNA is filed under the name Rattus norvegicus (Norway rat). RNAcentral's name for it is "long non-coding RNA NONRATT024254". The record is from RNAcentral. Lineage: Eukaryota; Metazoa; Chordata; Mammalia; Rodentia; Muridae.